This 4908-nucleotide long non-coding RNA is filed under the name Gossypium raimondii (Peruvian cotton). RNAcentral describes it as "long non-coding RNA (GRAI_LNC008541)". The record is from RNAcentral. Lineage: Eukaryota; Viridiplantae; Streptophyta; Magnoliopsida; Malvales; Malvaceae.
UUUUUUGAUAAUAGGUGGUUGUAAUUGAAUUUAUUUGAAAUUGUUUGAAGUCCAAAUUUGAAAUUUAUGAUAAGUUUAAUUUUAGGGACUAAAUUGAAUAAAAUAUAAAAGUUUAGGGAAAUUGUAUAAAAUGAAAUUAAAAUAUUUUAAGCAUGAAUUUGAAUAUUAUUAUGAUAGUGAUAUUGAUAUUUUGAAUAUUAACUAUCAUAUAGAUCAAGUUGUUGACUUAGGUAAGAAAUGAAAAACUAUCAAAUAGUCUCUAUUAGCUAAACUGCUAUGAUUUUGUCAGGUAAGUUCAUAUAAUAUAAAUAGGUUUAAAUUGUUGUUGAAUUAUAUCUAAAAGUAUAUUAAUUUUUUAUUAAUUGUUUGAAUUUUAUAUGAAUUGUUACAUAAAUUGAUGAUUUAAUUGAAUUGAAAUGGAUUGAUACAAAUGGAAAUGUUACGGUUAAAUCCCAAUGAAUUUAGUAAAAGUCUUGUACAUGAGGAUACAAGUUUAUUUCUAAUGGUACCAAGCUCCAGUAUUUGUUGCGGACUCGAAGAUGCAUAUGACACAGGUUUAGCUUGAACUGGUAAUUUGUUGUCGUUUUAAAGAUUUAGCCUGGACUAGUAACCUUACAUGUAUAUACAGCUCUAGUCAGGCUAUUUACUGUGUCAUUAAAGGUUUUGCCCGGACGAGUAACUAACAUUGUUGUAAAUGAUUAGCUCGAACGAGCAUCAUACGUUAUUUGCACCUGUGUAUUGAGUUCUUUUACAAAGUUUCAUUGGAUAAAAAUUAUAAAUAAAAAGGUAAUGAUAUAUCAAAUGUUGGCAAAGUAAUGUAUAUGAUUUGGAUAUAGGAUAUAAGAUGGUUUGAAAUGAAAAUGUAAACAAUUUGGGUUGUAUAUGUGAUUGAGCUCAAAACCUUAUAUGUAUAAUGAUGUUGUUUGAAUCUUGAUAAGGGUAUAUGAUGCCAAUUGAAGGGUGAAUGUGAGCAAGAUGAUCGAUUAGAAUACGAAUUUAUAUUAUAUUUUAAGUUGAAUAUGGUGUUUCACCAUUUGAGUUUACAUAUUUGAAUUUGGUUUAAACCUCACUUGAUUGAUGUUGUUUUUGGAUGCCAUGAUAAGUGAAAUUAUUUCAUAUUAAUUAAUGUAUUUGUUAAAUGGUUGAGGUAAACUAUUUGUUUAUAUCGUAUGAGCUUACUAAGUAUUUUAUAUACUUACUCGUGUUAUUACUUUUAUGUAGAUUUUGGACAUCCGGAACGUGUUGACUGGAUCAGCAAGAAGCUUACACCCAUCAACUUUUGAUUUGGUAGAUUUUUUAUGUUUGAAGUUGGUUACUUGUGGCAUGUGCGUAGGUUGAAUGAACUUAAGCUAGUUAAAGUCUGUUUUAGUAUAAUAAAGUCUAGUUUAUUAUAAUAACAUUGUAUAUGUAAAUCUAUGGUUGUGGCUUAAUAUUGGUUAUUUGGUAUUUGCUAAGUUUAGUAUGCUUGAAUGUUAAAGAAAUGACAAAGCUUAAUUGAUAAUAUGCAUGUGAAUUGAAUUGUGGUAUGAAUUGUGGUUUGAAUGGUGUAAAGCUUAAUUGAUAAUAUGGUGUAAUUGAUAUUGGUUUUUUUUUCUCAAGAUAUUUACUGGAGCGAGCCUAGUAAUUAAUUCUCCUCAUUCUGUAGACUCAUUAAGGGGUAGAUGUCGGCCAUGAGUUUUACAGUUACUUCAUACCUAGGGUAAGGAUCAAACCCUUGACCACUAGUUAAGGUAGAAAAGACCAUUGCCAUCUCACUUAACUCUCGUGGUUUGUUUCAUAAAGAUCCUUGCCAUCUCAUCUAACUCUCAUGAUAAUUUUAAUUCUUGAUUUUACAAUGGCAAUAAAAAAAAACCCCCCAUUUCAUAAAGAUCAUGCUCAUCACCCCUUACCCCCCCCCCCAAAAAAAAUAGGAAAUUCACUUCUUCGAUUCCAUGGUCAUAAAGUCUAUUAUUCUUGAAAGCAUUGAAAAGAUAAAAUUUUGGCUUUUGUAAAAAACUUAGGACAUGGUUGGAAGAGCAGUGGUGAUAGAGAUGGAGUGGAGAUGAAAAAUUAGGGAUUAUGAAAAAAAAUGGAAGAAAAGGACAAAUUUAUUGAAUGGUGAAAGAGAUGGAGGAGAGAGCAAAAAAUAGGAAUGGUGAUGAAUAUGGGGAGAGAAGGGUGUUUUGAAUAACAAGAGAAAAAUUGAAUGGAGAUGGAAGAUAGAGGAAAAGACGUGAAUGGUGGUAAAGGUGGAGUAAAGUGCUAAAGAUUUUUGAAAAAAAAUUAUGAAUAUAUUAAACAAAUAUUAUUUAAUAAUUAAACUAGUUAUUAUAAAAUAUAUAUAUCAUUAGUAUAUGUGUCACUAUGAGAUUUCCUAAAUUUGCCGUAAAUAAGAAAAAGUUAACGGGGUUGGUUGUAAAGACUAAUGCAUAUGUAACUAUUAUGUUCGAUUAAGUUCCAAUUCGAAAAAAAAUUGUCAAGUUUAAGGGUCAAUCAGUAUAUUAAGUUUUUAAUAAUUUAUUAUGUUUAUUGGAAUUGACUUAAGCACCACUAAGCAUAAAAGUAAGCUUAGUGCAUUGAUUGUUUUUCCACGCUAGGUUAGAGAUCGGACAUAAGGAGAUAGUUAUAAAAGUUCUGCAUCGAGCCGAGUCGCAUCACAUAAAAGUGUAAUCAUGUUCGAGUCCUUUAUAUUGUAUAAGUUAAUGUCAGUGAAGCAUAUAUGUAGAAUAUUAUUGUGUUACUAAAUUUUAAUAUAUUUAUAUAAGUGACAUUGGUAAUUCAUUUGACACUAUCGUCCAUUGGUUAUUGAAUUGAAUUGCAAAAAUUUAAAAAUUUGGCUUUUACUGACAGUGAUCACCAAAACAUAUUUCUUAAAGUUUGUACAUGUGUUAAAGAAAAGUUGUAAGUACCUUCAGGCAUUAGGUGUAGCGUCGUUUAUCUGGAACCGUUGACGGUCUAGGUAAGGAGUGUUACAGACGGACUAUGUGUGUGUGACUCGUGUACUUUGAGGUAUUACAAGUCUUACCUCAAUUGAUAAUGGAACCAAAAUUUGGUAUAUGUUGGAAAAUUUGGUUUGAAAACAAUGUUUAGAAGCACAACGAAUUUUUUUUUUAAAUCAAGUUGUUGUGAUAUUUAUAGCAAUAAAUCUAUUAACCAAAUUAUACAUGUGUUUUUAAAUCAGGUAGACUUAGUUGUUUCACGCUUUCUACUAUUUAAUCUUCCCCACUAAUCUUAACCCUGGUUCGAAAUAGUGUUAACUGAGCAUGUAAAAUAAAUUUCAAAUAUUUUUAAGCAAUUAAUUUGAAUUGUUUGUAAAAUUUAAUUUAAAUGUCUAAAUUAUAUUUUAAAUAUUAAAAACAAUUAUUACAUUUCAAAUAUAUGAUGUUAUAUAUAUUUUUUAAUUUUAUUUCUAUAAAAUUAGAAAAUCAUGUGAGCCAAAAAUGCAAUAGACUUUUUGUAACCCUAAAUUAUUCGACGGAACCAGAAAAACAUGACGGACCCUUAACCCAAAAUGGAUGACGAUCGGAUGAUGAAUGGCAAAUCGUUGUGGGUGAUGGCAUGGGACGCCGCAUGGUGCAUAGCCAGCAGAUGUGAGGUACACGAACUACCGGGUCAUCACACCAUGGUUGAACGACCAGGCACGCAGGAGAGCCAAGGCGUCGUGCCCUAGUUCAGUGUGUGAACAUGCAAGGUAGACCGGGCCUUGCGCCCAGGUAUAAUGCUCCAGCCGCAAGGAAGAACCGGCAGAAGGCUGAGGCAUUGCACCCCAAUCAGACUAGUUAGGCGCACGGCACCGAGGGAUGUGUGUGUGCACCAACAACCAGCCGUGAUAUUGUUGGAUACUUGCCUAAUAGUAGUAUUUGGCUUGUGUGUUGAGUUGCUAAUGUUUUGUGAUGGUAUAAGGAAAUUGGUAGAUUUUUUAUUGUUUUGCUCUCUUUGUGAGCUUGGUUUUUGUAUAAUUGAACUUUCGGUGCUUUUAUUGAGAGUCCUUGUUGUAGUGUUUGGUUGCUUUCAAGAGUAUAGUAUUUACAUGUGAAGUUGCAUCUUCUUUCUGGUUAAAGAGCGUGUUCAUUAGAUUGAAUUAUUAUGUAGUUUGCCACAGUGUUUUUAACAACUUCACCCUUUUGUAUUUUAAUAAAAUUUGAUUAUGGCCAAUAUAUAUACUUUAAGAACCAUCGCCUACUGCAAGCCUGGUUUCACAUUCUAUGAUUUCCUUCCAUUUUACAUUAACGAAAAUGUUACAGACGAAAAAGCUGCUGAGUAAUGCCUCAUACUUCAACAAUAUUAAGACGUGUCUUGAGGGGUUGAUGAACAUAAAAAGUUAUUCAUUAGUAAGAUUAGAUGUUAUUGAUGAUAGAUGAAAAGAGAGUUUUAAAAAUCAAGAUUUCAAUUACAGUACAGUAUUUAUUUAACAAUUACUUGGUUUCCCACAAUGGCCUCAUCCCCUGCAAGGUAGUAUUUCACAAAUUUAUACCCACAAAAGCAUUCAUGCAUGUUUAUGUUCAUCAAGCUAUGAACAUCUCUAAGCACACUUGCAAUUAUGACUAAAUGAUGGCAACGGCUUCUUAACUUGGAAGAAACAAGUGGAUAAAAAGGAUGAUGGUGGUGGUGGUGAUGGUGAUGAACUUGACGGCACUUCCAUGCUAAUUUCUCCUUCAUUUUCUUCUUCAUGAAUGGUUUCCAAUGUUAUAUGGGUAUUGUGGAGCCUAGGGACCGCAAUAAAACGAGCUGGCACGACGGCGGAGAAGGGAGUGAGCGCUGGAGUCUCAGCCUUGGGAGGGCAGAGUAUUUUCUGGGAAGUGGAGACUGAGAAGAUACCAGCCAUGCUUAACUUCUUUUUGUAGUGGAGAAUUUGCCUAUGAAUUUCGUUGUAUGAUGAGGGAAUGAAUGUCAACAAAUGUGGCAUUCUAUACUCCAUUUAUAUAGAAG